Molecule: long non-coding RNA, 575 nt
Filed under: Musa acuminata (dwarf banana)
Lineage: Eukaryota; Viridiplantae; Streptophyta; Magnoliopsida; Zingiberales; Musaceae
Description: long non-coding RNA (MACU_LNC011003)
Source: RNAcentral
GGCAAACUUCCGGCAGUCUUCCGAUGAACUCUCGGAAACCAUUCUGCGGACUCCCCGGCAAGCUCCUAGACUUCACGAUUUGUUCUUAGCGAGUUCCAACGAGCUUCUUCGGCAAGCUCCGAUCUUUCUUGGCGAGCUGCGCGAACUCCCAACGAACCUUCAGACUUCCGUCGAACUCUCGAACUCGCAACAAAUCCUUCGCGCUUGACUCCGACACUUUGUUUCGCUUUAUGUCUUCAUCGUUAUCAUAGUUAAUCCUGCACAAUUAAAACAAAACUUCAAUCGAGACAAUUAAUCCUAAGCAAUUAACCAAGUUGUCCGACAUGUCAUUGGUCCCUCGACGCUUCGUCCGAUUCUUCGGCUCAUCAUCCUCUCCUGCGGCCUAUUGCCCAAUCGGCCAGUUGACUCCGCAACUCCGAUAUCCUUGGCGCAAUACCCGCUCUUCUUGGCCCGAUGCCCGAGUCCACGGCCCGAAGCCUUCUGUCGAUACGUCGACCGAUCCACCGGCCCGACGUCCAAUCUUCUGACAUGUUCCUUCGGCACAACAUGAUUUUCCUGCUUUAAUUGUCUCAUUC